CUCAGCUGCUCGUGGUGCGUUCUGACUGGGCCGCUGGACAGGACGUCGCAUGCGGGAGGCGGGAAGAUCUGUGAUUGGCUGAGCGGCUUGUCAAUCAUAGGACUAGGACGAGCUUGUGAGGGCCUCUCAGUGAGUCCUUCCUUGGCCAAGGGCUGCAGGGGAUCCCUGGUUAUAGGAUUUUAGCAGGUUCUGAGUUUCGCACUCUCUCAGAGCUUCAGGCACCAUCUCCUUCUCUCGUGGCUGGAACACACUCCACUCCAGUGGAGAAAAGACCUUCCUUCAGUCUCACUCCCUUUGAGAAAAGCAGCACAAGGCCGCAACAUAGCAAAAUGUGAAAAAGUGAUUCCAAAGACUUUACAAAUCCACUGUACUAUAUUCUGAGGAAACAUCUAAUCUGACCAAGGUCACCAUUUGCAUGGAGUUUGUAUGUUCUCCCCGUGGAUUUCCUCUGGGUUCUCCGGUUUCCUCCCACACUCCAAAGACUUACUGGUCGGGACCUUAGAUUGUGAGCCCCAUUGGGGACAGCUUGAUGCUAAUGUCUGUGAGGCGCUGCAGAAUAUGUCAGCGCUAUAUAAGUGCGUAAAAUAAAUAUUGCUGUCCCAGACUCACAGGCACCCAGAAUUGACUUGGCCUUGCUGUCAAUUAGAGACACCCCAAUAGCAGACAACACCACAGACCAGAUGAUGAGAAACUUCAGACUAAGCACCUAAGUGCUAUGAAUAUCUGAAUUUGGAAAAGAUAAACAUGUUUGGACCAGAGUUCAUGCAAUAGAUGAAGAAAAGGAAUCGGGCUCACAAAUCAUUUUCGGAGCCUCUUAUCCGUUACUUUAUCAGAAGUAGAGCUUCUGUUGAUCCUAGAGACUCUGGGCCCUGGCGAUCACAUGACUGCUGGGACCAGAGCACGAGGCAGCAUUGCAGUCUCUGCUCAGACAUGUUUCAAAUGUCCUUGCAAAGGUAUUGUAUGUACCAAUAAUGUAAUGACCCAGACAUAUAGCGUGAACGGGUGGUCGGCAAGGAGUUAAAUAUAAUAAAAAUUGCUCUAAACCUGCCAUUAGAAAAAUUUCCCAAAGAAGGUAGCCUUUCUUCAAGAUAGACGAGAGGCUAGACCAUGAGGCGUUGCUUGCAGGGAACAUUUCAGACACCAGUCCAGGACAGAAGGGCUGGAUAAACUACAUAUUUCCAAUAUUCAAGCCUGAUGUGUCAUUAAAACCAGUUUUAAACAUUCAA
Molecule: long non-coding RNA, 1226 nt
Organism: Bufo gargarizans (Asiatic toad)
Lineage: Eukaryota; Metazoa; Chordata; Amphibia; Anura; Bufonidae
Exons: 3
Source: RefSeq, a predicted model, not a curated record